GCCACCGACCCACGGAUGGGACGCAGCACUACGAAUGCUGUCGAAGAGAGUUCGAGUCUUUCCGGUGGUGCCA
This 73-nucleotide transfer RNA is filed under the name Deltaproteobacteria bacterium. RNAcentral's name for it is "tRNA-Arg". Lineage: Bacteria; Pseudomonadati; Myxococcota; Myxococcia. The record is from RNAcentral.